GACGAACCGUGCAAACGUUGUUCGGAAUCACUGGGCUUAAAGGGCGCGUAGGCGGUGUGUUGAGUCGGUGGUGAAAUACUUCGGCUCAACCGGAGAAUUGCCGCCGAAACUGGCACGCUGGAGGGAGGUAGAGGUGCGUGGAACUUCCGGUGGAGCGGUGAGAUGCGUUGAUAUCGGAAGGAACACCUGUGGCGAAGGCGGCGCACUGGACCUCUUCUGACGCUGAGGCGCGAAAGCUAGGGUAGCGAACGGGAUUAGAAC
Molecule: ribosomal RNA, 261 nt
Filed under: uncultured bacterium
Lineage: Bacteria
Description: partial 16S ribosomal RNA
Rfam family: Bacterial small subunit ribosomal RNA
Source: RNAcentral